GACGAACGCUGGUUGCGUGCUUAACACAUGCAAGUCGAACGGAAAGGCCCUGCUUUUGUGGGGUGCUCGAGUGGCGAACGGGUGGGUAACACGUGAGUAACCUGCCCUUGACUUUGGGAUAACUUCAGGAAACUGGGGCUAAUACCGGAUAGGAGCUCCUGCUGCAUGGUGGGGGUUGGAAAGUUUCGGCGGUUGGGGAUGGACUCGCGGCUUAUCAGCUUGUUGGUGGGGUAGUGGCUUACCAAGGCUUUGACGGGUAGCCGGCCUGAGAGGGUGACCGGCCACAUUGGGACUGAGAUACGGCCCAGACUCCUACGGGAGGCAGCAGUGGGGAAUAUUGCACAAUGGGCGGAAGCCUGAUGCAGCAACGCCGCGUGCGGGAUGACGGCCUUCGGGUUGUAACCCGCUUUCGCCUGUGACGAAGCGUGAGUGACGGUAAUGGGUAAAGAAGCACCGGCUAACUACGUGCCAGCAGCCGCGGUGAUACGUAGGGUGCGAGCGUUGUCCGGAUUUAUUGGGCGUAAAGGGCUCGUAGGUGGUUGAUCGCGUCGGAAGUGUAAUCUUGGGGCUUAACCCUGAGCGUGCUUUCGAUACGGGUUGACUUGAGGAAGGUAGGGGAGAAUGGAAUUCCUGGUGGAGCGGUGGAAUGCGCAGAUAUCAGGAGGAACACCAGUGGCGAAGGCGGUUCUCUGGGCCUUUCCUGACGCUGAGGAGCGAAAGCGUGGGGAGCGAACAGGCUUAGGUACCCUGGUAGUCCACGCUGUAAACGGUGGGUACUAGGUGUGGGGUCCAUUCCACGGGUUCCGUGCCGUAGCUAACGCUUUAAGUACCCCGCCUGGGGAGUACGGCCGCAAGGCUAAAACUCAAAGGAAUUGACGGGGCCCCGCACAAGCGGCGGAGCAUGCGGAUUAAUUCGAUGCAACGCGUAGAACCUUACCUGGGUUUGACAUGGAUCGGGAGUGCUCAGAGAUGGGUGUGCCUCUUUUGGGGUCGGUUCACAGGUGGUGCAUGGCUGUCGUCAGCUCGUGUCGUGAGAUGUUGGGUUAAGUCCCGCAACGAGCGCAACCCUUGUUCACUGUUGCCAGCACGUUAUGGUGGGGACUCAGUGGAGACCGCCGGGGUCAACUCGGAGGAAGGUGGGGAUGACGUCAAGUCAUCAUGCCCCUUAUGUCCAGGGCUUCACGCAUGCUACAAUGGCUGGUACAGAGAGUGGCGAGCCUGUGAGGGUGAGCGAAUCUCGGAAAGCCGGUCUCAGUUCGGAUUGGGGUCUGCAACUCGACCUCAUGAAGUCGGAGUCGCUAGUAAUCGCAGAUCAGCAACGCUGCGGUGAAUACGUUCCCGGG
RNAcentral lists this ribosomal RNA (1343 nucleotides) under uncultured bacterium. RNAcentral's name for it is "16S ribosomal RNA". It matches the Rfam family "Bacterial small subunit ribosomal RNA", at positions 28 to 1378 of the family's 1533-position model. The record is from RNAcentral.